Molecule: ribosomal RNA, 465 nt
Filed under: uncultured Enterococcus sp.
Lineage: Bacteria; Bacillati; Bacillota; Bacilli; Lactobacillales; Enterococcaceae
Description: bacterial SSU rRNA
Rfam family: Bacterial small subunit ribosomal RNA
Source: RNAcentral
CCUACGGGGGGCAGCAGUAGGGAAUCUUCGGCAAUGGACGAAAGUCUGACCGAGCAACGCCGCGUGAGUGAAGAAGGUUUUCGGAUCGUAAAACUCUGUUGUUAGAGAAGAACAAGGAUGAGAGUAACUGUUCAUCCCUUGACGGUAUCUAACCAGAAAGCCACGGCUAACUACGUGCCAGCAGCCGCGGUAAUACGUAGGUGGCAAGCGUUGUCCGGAUUUAUUGGGCGUAAGGCGAGCGCAGGCGGUUUCUUAAGUCUGAUGUGAAAGCCCCCGGCUCAACCGGGGAGGGUCAUUGGAAACUGGGAGACUUGAGUGCAGAAGAGGAGAGUGGAAUUCCAUGUGUAGCGGUGAAAUGCGUAGAUAUAUGGAGGAACACCAGUGGCGAAGGCGGCUCUCUGGUCCGUAACUGACGCUGAGGCUCGAAAGCGUGGGGAGCAAACAGGAUUAGAUACCCCUGUAGUC